UAUCUCUCCAGACGGGGCAGCAAUUGCAACGGGGUCAAGUGACAAGACGGUUAGGCUAUGGGAUCUUAAGAUGAGAGCGGCUACGCAAACUUUAACCAACCAUACAGAUCAGGUUUGGGCUGUGGCUUUUGGACCAACAUCAAGGACUGAUGUUAGGUCCUGUAUGCUUGCAAGUGUGUCUGAUGACAAGAGUUUAUCAUUCUAUCAGUACUCUUAACAGUUGCAGCCAUUGCAUGCUUUGUAUGUUGGUAUGAUGUCUCAAGAAAAUAUUUGACUUAUUUUCGAAUUUGAUUUAAUAUAAAUAUUUUCAUGAUAGAAUUUG
This 322-nucleotide unclassified non-coding RNA is filed under the name Hevea brasiliensis (rubber tree). Lineage: Eukaryota; Viridiplantae; Streptophyta; Magnoliopsida; Malpighiales; Euphorbiaceae. The record is from RNAcentral.